This 1586-nucleotide long non-coding RNA is filed under the name Vigna radiata. RNAcentral's name for it is "long non-coding RNA (VRAD_LNC003676)". The record is from RNAcentral. Lineage: Eukaryota; Viridiplantae; Streptophyta; Magnoliopsida; Fabales; Fabaceae.
AAUCAAUUUAGUCUAAUAUGGAUCGUGCUAGGAAAAUCUCAUGUUACACACACUCAGAUAUAUUCCUAAAUAUUCAUUGAUAAUUAAAAGACUUUAAAUAGUCGUGACACUUAUAAUAUUACAGGAAUAAAAACUGAAAUCCUAACAAAUCAAAUCAGAUUUUUUCUUUUUCUAUCCUAAUAAAAUAAAAACUAAAACUACAAAUUAACAUAUCCUCUGCCACUCUUCAAUUUAAAAUAAAAACAAAAGAAAAAUUACAUAAAUACCUUUUUUUUAAUUUAAGUUUAUUCCAACAAAACUCCCACAUAAACUUAAACACGUGAUCUUUCACAAAAAUUGAAUUAUCUUUUUCAAUUAUCUGACUCAUGCUUAAAAUAUUGCUCUUCAGUUCCGGAACAUAGUAAACAUCCCUAAUCUCUCUAACUCGUCCACUCUUCUACAUAUGUUGGAUUGUUCCACGCCCUUUCACGGCCACCUUGAAGUCAUCUCCGAAAGACACAAAUUUGGUCUCCACCUUUGAGUUUAUCACAAAAAAGUUCUCGUUUCCACACAUAUGAUUGCUUGCCCUAGUAUUUAGAUACCAUACCGAGUUGGUAGAAAUCUCAUUAGCCUUCAUCUCUUAUUCAUCUUCUUCUGGUUCAAGAACGCAAGAUGAUGUUUCUUCCUUUUCAAGAGUCGUCUUCUUCACCUCCCUAUAUGCUAAAUCUCUUCAUCUUUUUGUUUGAGUUCCUUAUCCAUGUUUUCCUUCUCCACAUUUAUCGCACCAUUUACUUAGAUCACUUCAUCCAUCAUUGGGACAGAGCUCUCCAUGUCCACUACAUCCGAGCUCUUUGCUAGCAACAGUUCUUCUGCAUCUUGAGAUUAGUCUCCCCAUUUGUCUCAGUCUUGCAAUACUUUGCAAUAUGGCCCGCCUUACCACAAUCGUAGCACUUUUUUUUAUCUACACUCGUUUGCAUAGUGGCCAUACUUGCCACACUUAAAACACUCAACUCCUUUCCCUUGUUCUCGGUUAUGUCAAUUCUACUGAUCGGUUUGCUCUUCACUAUCAUUCUCAAAAUUACCUAGGUCAUGUCCACCUCGUCCUCGGCCUCCUCGUCCUCUGUCGCCAGGACCUCGGCUUUUAUAAAACUUGAUCAUCGGGGGUUCAACCUGAUCAUCCCAACUCAUUCUCCUUUAUUUGUGGGCUUUUAAUGACCCAACAAGUUCAUCCAUUGUGAGAACUGACAAAUCCUUCGAGUAUUCGAACUUGUCUAACACGGUUGUCACUUAUAUAUGCAACCUCCGAUAUUUCUUAGACUUCCUUUGUUAAUUUAGCAUUCACUAUUUUUUUAAUCCCGACUCAUCCACUGCAUUGUAUACCUAUCUCUUGCACGUGUUUUCUUCAAUGUUGCCAUCUAUGUCACUGUCUGAUAUUCGUCCUCACCAUACCUGUCUUCCACCAUAUACCAAACGUCUUGGGAUCUCAAUAACGUCUUCAUCUGUAUGCCCCACUUAUCAUAAUUGGUUUUUCUCGUCAAUUGUAGCACAAUUAUACCGUUGACAACCUUUGACAUCUCUAUAAAAAAAUUAAGCACUCACUUUUUUUU